AUAGGGAGUGUAUGAAGUGAGCAACACUAGAGGAGAUCAGGAUGGCCUCUCGCCAGGCCAGGAAGGACUUGAUGAAUCACCUGAGGAAUGGGCAGGUUGUGGAUUACGAGAGCAUAGAGCUAUUGUUCGACAAGGCAAAUAGGAACCUGGCUGUGAGACUGGUGGAGUGCCAGUGCGCCGCAGCAGGAAUCUCUCCCUCCUUCUCCAUUUAUCAAUUAGUAAUUGUCCCAGUAAAUACACAAAUCCCCUACAGCAGUAAGACUUUCCUCUCAUGUUUCCAGUUUGAUUAAUAAUUCCACUGGCUCUCUUACAUACGAAAUCAUUCUAUGAUUAGUGUCCUGUAUCCCUACAGGACCCCAGUAGUUAAGAGUUAUCAGCAGGCUCUCUGUAAGAGAGUGGCCCAGGCUGGACUAUACAGAAAACACGCUCUGGAUGCUCCUCUCCUGGCUGGGUUUAAACAGUACCUUGUCCAGUGUCACAGAUACAGACAGCUGCAGAGUCCUGGGCCGAGCGCCAGUAACUGCUGGAAGGUGCUGAGGGCUGCAAAGAGAGAUGUGGAGUGGAUACUGGAGAAGACGCACACCUCUGAAGACAUCACCAUGCCUGAGCAGCUUCUUGUGCUGUAUUACCUGCAGGCCAUUCUCCAGCUGAAGCACCUGCAGCACCCAGAGGUGAUAAUGAAUAUGACAACAAAGGAGAUAUUCAUUGUCAGAAGAUGGAUGAUGGCCCAGCAUUCCCAGAACAGACACUGGAGUUUCCAGCAGCAUUAAACGGGCAACCGCUUGGGAAGAGACAUCAACUGAGACUGACUGGACUUCAUGAACGACACCAAGAACAGAGCCUACAAGAUGAUUCUAGAUAACAAUUCCUUAAUCCUUUUAGUGAAGGUUUCUGAAAAGGCUAAGGACUACAGCAAUUAAUUUUGGACUGCAGAGAUAUUUUAACCUUGUUAAGAAGUAAGACAUUUGAUAAAAAAAAAACAUUUAAAUGGCUUAUCUUUACAAGAAUAUUUUAAAACUUUAAUUACAGUUCAAUAGAUGCUGUAGACCUAAUCUACAAUGACUGCAUUUUAUUUUCAUUUUAGCCAUAAACUGUUGUAAAUAGUUUAAUUGAAAAAAAUAUUAAUUCAGAACACACAGUUGAUUUUGAAAUUAUCAGCUAUAGUGGCUCAUAUCUAUGAGUCUGUCACAUUCCAUAAGGAUUUACUGCAUUGGAGCAGAUAAGCAGCCUCAGCCUUCUGAUCAUGUAAAAGCAAUAGAAAGGUGCAACAAAUGGAGUUCUGGAAGUUGUUCUUACAUUGUGUCUUCAACAAAAUCAUAUUAAUGUGCUUCUGCUGUUUUGUAGAGUCCGCCUGCCACUCAUCUCCAGCCAUGUUGCCAGUAGGACACAUGAGAAGCCACAAAGCAGCUGACGGAGGUCCAGAAACACAUACAGGCACAACAGAAGCCUAUUGUAAUGUUUCAACAGCCUCUUGGGAAGAGAGAUGGACUGAGACUGAUUGCACUUUAUGAA
Molecule: long non-coding RNA, 1512 nt
Filed under: Lepisosteus oculatus (spotted gar)
Lineage: Eukaryota; Metazoa; Chordata; Actinopteri; Semionotiformes; Lepisosteidae
Description: lncRNA (ENSLOCG00000021157.1)
Source: RNAcentral